RNAcentral lists this signal recognition particle RNA (217 nucleotides) under Chlorocebus sabaeus (green monkey). RNAcentral describes it as "Metazoan signal recognition particle RNA". It matches the Rfam family "Metazoan signal recognition particle RNA". Rfam says of the family: The signal recognition particle (SRP) is a universally conserved ribonucleoprotein. It is involved in the co-translational targeting of proteins to membranes. The record is from Rfam by way of RNAcentral. Lineage: Eukaryota; Metazoa; Chordata; Mammalia; Primates; Cercopithecidae.
GCUGGGCGUGGUGACGCACACCUGUAAUCUCAGCACUUUGGGAGGCUGAGGCAGGAGGAUCGCUUGAGCUCAGGAGUUCAAAACCAGCCUGGGGAACAUGAUGAAACCCUGUUUCUACUAAAAAUANNNNNNNNNNUAUUUUUAGUAGAAACAGGGUUUCAUCAUGUUCCCCAGGCUGGUUUUGAACUCCUGAGCUCAAGCGAUCCUCCUGCCUCAG